Molecule: transfer RNA, 73 nt
Filed under: Candidatus Altarchaeales archaeon
Lineage: Archaea; Nanobdellati; Candidatus Altarchaeota; Candidatus Altarchaeia; Candidatus Altarchaeales
Description: tRNA-Lys
Rfam family: tRNA
About the family: Transfer RNA (tRNA) molecules are approximately 80 nucleotides in length. Their secondary structure includes four short double-helical elements and three loops (D, anti-codon, and T loops).
Source: RNAcentral
GGGCCGAUAGCUCAACUGGCAGAGCAACAGACUUUUAAUCUGUAGGUUCCGGGAUCGUGGCCCGGUCGGCUCA